GGGAGAGACGCGGUGGCCAAUUUGUCAGCCGAAAUUACAGAGGAAGAAGUACAUAGAGCCAUAUCUACCUUGAAAGGUAACAAAGCUCCAGGCCCGGAUGGGUUCGAAGGUACAUACUACAAAACCUUCAAAGAAGAACUUACACCCCAACUAAUGAAACUCUUUGACUACAUGAAACAGGGGGGACUCCUCCCUCCAGACAUGACCCUAGCUACCAUAGUAUUGAUACCUAAACCUGACAAAGACACACUCCAACCAGGAAACUACAGACCCAUAUCAUUGAUUAAUCAAGAUCUAAAAAUAAUAGCAAAAAUACAAGCUGACAGAUUAAAUCCGCUACUAAACUCACUCGUCCAUGCCGACCAAGUAGGCUUUAUUCAGGGCAGACAGCUGUUUGAGAAUACCAGAAGGAAUAUUGACCUAAUCUGGAAACAAGUGACAUCUAAAAUCCCUACCCUAGUGGUUUCUAUAGAUGCAGAAAAGGCCUUUGAUAGGGUGAGAUGGCAAUUCCUCUUUGCGGUACUAAAUCACCUAGGGUUCCCGAAAGAAUUUAUAACUACUACAAAAGCAAUGUACCAUGAGGUGAGAGCACAGAUACAGAUCACUGGUGCCCCGAUGACGCCUUUUCGACUCUACAAUGGCACUAGGCAGGGAUGCCCACUCUCCCCACUCCUGUUUGUACUAGCGCUAGAGCCUUUGAUGCAAGCGAUUAGACAACAUCCAGAAAUUGAAGGAGUUCGUGUAGGGGACAAAAAGUUUACAGUCUCAGCAUACGCAGACGACGUUCUUUUGACCAUCACGAACCCAUCGACGUCUGUGUCGGCCCUCCAAGACGUUAUCAAGGACUACGGGGAAUGGUCUGGCUAUAAGGCCAACAUGCAAAAAUCUAGCGCUAUGCCGAUUGGCAUGACUGAGACAGACAUAAAUCACAUACAAUUGACCUACCGUAUCAGGAUGGAAAGAGAGUCUAUGAAAUACCUGGGUAUACACCUAACUACGGACCCGACACACCUCUACUCCGAGAACUAUGGCCCCCUAAUUAGGAAGUUGAUAGGAGACUUAGAAAGGUGGUCUGAUAAACCUAUCUCCUGGAUAGGACGAAUUAACUCUGUUAAAAUGAACGUCCUCCCGAGGAUUUUAUUCUUAUUCCAAGCUCUCCCAAUUCAUGUCACCAAAGCACAACUGAACCCACUUCAACGGUCGAUAGCUGACUUCAUAUGGCAGAACAAGAGGCACAGGAUAUCAAGACAGAUACUCUACAGACGAAAAGAAAGAGGGGGACUGGGCCUCCCAAAUCUAUACUUCUAUUAUCUUGCAGCCCAACUAACACAGAUAGCUAUGUGGCAUUCCCCUCCGGAAGAGCGGAGAUGGGUCGAAAUAGAAUCCAUGAUGGUGGGAUGGGACAUCCCCCAGUUCACUAUGUGGAUCCCGAAAGACUAUCGACCCUUG
This is a non-coding RNA of Pelobates cultripes (western spadefoot toad), 1449 nucleotides long. Lineage: Eukaryota; Metazoa; Chordata; Amphibia; Anura; Pelobatidae. The record is from the annotation of a GenBank genome assembly.